AUGGGUUCUUGCCGCCCCACCUUCUUCGUCCUUUUCCUCUUCGUCUUCCAAGUUGCAAGAGCUGUGGAUCCCUCCACGAAUCUCAGCUGUAAUUUGACGAGCUCUGUGGAUCUUAAGACAGGACUUCCCAAAGGGGCCAAUUUCACAGUCCUCACUUUGCAUUCCCUCUCGAGGAAGAAGGUCGUGGCUCUCUUGCAGGCCAACACGCCUCUCCAGAUCUUGGACCUCCAUUACUCCAAAAGAGUCACCUUCGUGAAAGAGACUGGCGCCUUCCGCAUCCAUAACCUGAGCCUGGCGGACGGGGGGACCUACGACAUUUAUAGGCAGACCUCGGACAGUUCCACCGAAACAUUGAAGACAUACACACUGUUUGUGUUUGACAUCAACAUCACGGCAACCUCGCUGGCGAACCGUUCUUGCAGCCUGGAUUUGCUCUGUCAGGCGGGCGUGGGGACGAGAGCGAGCAGAGAGAGGUACACCUGGAAGAAGACGGCCUCGGGGGAGACCUUGUCCCAGGAACCCCGGCUCCGCCUCGUCAUGCACCCCGAGAACAGCCGAGACUCUUACACGUGCACCGCCCAGGAUGGCGUCUCUCAGGGCGCGUGGGACGUCAUUCCCUACCCGCAGUGCAGUCACUCUGGGGCUACAGGGCAUUUGCUGUCUGGCCUGCCAAGGUUGUCCUGCCUUCUCAGUGCUGGGCUGGUUGCCCUCGUGGUGCUGCUGUGAUGCCAGCUGCCGACAGGUGUGGAGAUGAUGAACCCGCCCACCCUCCCACCCCACCCGGCUUCGGAGCGCCCGCUUGAAGGCUUCUGCUUUGUCUUCCUGUUGCGGUUGGUGAAAGUUGCUCCCCCCCCCUUCGUUCCCUUGCUGUGAAGCAAAUGAGAGAGCUCUCCGAUGAAUGGGAUGCUGGGCGGGGCCCGACCGCUGAACUUGCACAAUCACGCACACGCACCCUCGGAGCCCCUGGUGUGGUGGUGGCACAACAGUCAAGCGCGCACGUGACUUCUGAGAGAUUGCACCCGUCAUGGCGUCCCUUUGCACUCUGGACCACUUGCCACUUUUCUCUGGUUCUGGACGAAUCCUUGCCCCGGUUUGGCCUCCCCCAUGUUCAUUUGGGUUGUGGGGAGAGGGAGGGCUGGCGCUGUCCUUGUUUUGGGUCCGGCCCCCUUCCUGAGCUCAGUCUCAUGGGACGCUCCUUUCUGCACAGAGGCCGGGCUCUCCUGGCAAGGAAGGGCCCUUUGGCCCCGAAACCUGGACGUGCCGGGCCGAGCCGGCCGACGGGAACUCCCCCUGGGCCCCAGGGUCUGGCCUCAUGGUGGGCGGCCGGAACGGGGGGUUGCAUCCUGUCUCAGGGUGCCGUCAAACCUCACUGCGCUCACUCUCUGCUGGCACACACACACACACACACACACACACCGAAGCCCCCUGCCUUGUGUUGUAACUGCUGGGCCUGUGUCCUGAAUGCUGUAUAUACACUUCUGCUGGAGGAGGCUCUGUUUCCAGUGUUUCUUUAACCCAAAGACUCAAUUUCCCCCUUUUGGCUUUUGAACUGGGGCAGUGUGUGUGUGUGGGGGGGGCGGUUGCACAGGGAGCCGAGACCUCCAGGAGGAGGUGGAAGUGGGUGGUGGGUGGUGGGAGGGAGUCCUGAAGAGACCCUUGGCGUCAACACCGGGGUGCUUUCCGCCUGUCCCUAGUUUCUCCAGUGGAAGGUUGGGGGUGUGUCUUU
Molecule: long non-coding RNA, 1726 nt
Organism: Pogona vitticeps (central bearded dragon)
Lineage: Eukaryota; Metazoa; Chordata; Lepidosauria; Squamata; Agamidae
Product: T-lymphocyte surface antigen Ly-9-like
Source: Ensembl